UCCCUGAUGACGUUGCUCGUGAUUGUCUUAUUCGUGUCAUGCACCCGCAGUUCUCCACCGUCGUAUCAGUCUGCAAAGCGUGGAAAACUGAGCUCGAGUUGCCGGAAUUUCACCGUCGCAGGAAACUUACCUGUAAUACUCAAAAGCUUGUCGUUAUGGCUCAAGCUCGAGUUGAACGAAAGGAAGACUCUAAGGCUAUGAAAUAUGGAGUUAGCCCGAUUUACCGCUUCACCGUUCUUGAGCCAGAUACCGGUGAUUGGUGUGAAUUACCUCCAAUUCCGUGGUUUUCCGAUGGCUUGCUCAUGUUUUGCCAGGUGGUGAGUGUCGGGUCCGAUAUUGUUGUUUUGGGCGGGCUGGAUCCGGCGACUUGGG
This 372-nucleotide long non-coding RNA is filed under the name Manihot esculenta (cassava). RNAcentral describes it as "long non-coding RNA (MESC_LNC002519)". Lineage: Eukaryota; Viridiplantae; Streptophyta; Magnoliopsida; Malpighiales; Euphorbiaceae. The record is from RNAcentral.